This 552-nucleotide ribosomal RNA is filed under the name Arxiozyma telluris. Its description in RNAcentral is "eukaryotic LSU rRNA". It matches the Rfam family "Eukaryotic large subunit ribosomal RNA", at positions 70 to 636 of the family's 3401-position model. The record is from RNAcentral. Lineage: Eukaryota; Fungi; Ascomycota; Saccharomycetes; Saccharomycetales; Saccharomycetaceae.
CGGGAUUGCCUCAGUAGCGGCGAGUGAAGCGGCAAGAGCUCAAAUUUGAAAUCUAGCGCCUUCGGUGCUCGAGUUGUAAUUUGUAGAGUGGAUCCUUGGGGCCGCUCCUUGCCUAUGUUCCUUGGAACAGGACGUCAUGGAGGGUGAAAACCCCGUGUGGCGAGGGGUGCGGCUCCGUGUAAGGGCUGCUCGAAGAGUCGAGUUGUUUGGGAAUGCAGCUCUAAGUGGGUGGUAAAUUCCAUCUAAAGCUAAAUACUGGCGAGAGACCGAUAGCGAACAAGUACAGUGAUGGAAAGAUGAAAAGAACUUUGAAAAGAGAGUGAAAAAGUACGUGAAAUUGUUGAAAGGGAAGGGCAUUUGAUCAGACAUGGUGUUUUGCGCCCCCUGCUCCUUGUGGGCGGGGGACUCUCGCAGCUCACUGGGCCAGCAUCAGUUUUUGCGGCCGGACAAAGCCGGAGGAAUGUGGCUUCCCUCGGGAAGUGUUAUAGCCUACGGGAACGCGGCCAGCGGGGACUGAGGAACGCGACUUUUGUCAAGGAUGCUGGCAUAAUG